This 421-nucleotide ribosomal RNA is filed under the name uncultured bacterium. RNAcentral's name for it is "partial 16S ribosomal RNA". It matches the Rfam family "Bacterial small subunit ribosomal RNA", at positions 360 to 773 of the family's 1533-position model. The record is from RNAcentral.
AAUAUUGGACCUUGGGGGCAACCUUGAUCCAGCCAUCCCGCGUGUGCGAUGAAGGCCUUCGGGUUGUAAACCACUUUUGGCUGGGAAGAAAAGGCCCUGGCUAAUACCUGUAGCUGCUGCCGGUACCUGCAGAAUAAGCCCCGGCUAAUUACGUGCCAGCAGCCGCGGUAAUACGUAGGGUGCAAGCGUUAAUCGGAAUUACUGGGCGUAAAGCGUGCGCAGGCGGUUCGGCAAGAAGGAUGUGAAAUCCCAGGGCUUAACCUUGGAACUGCAUUCUUAACUGCCGGGCUAGAGUAUGUCAGAGGGGAGUAGAAUUCCGCGUGUAGCAGUGAAAUGCGUAGAGAUGCGGAGGAAUACCGAUGGCGAAGGCAGCCCCCUGGGAUAAUACUGACGCUCAUGCACGAAAGCGUGGGGAGCAAAC